Molecule: ribosomal RNA, 582 nt
Filed under: Metarhizium anisopliae
Lineage: Eukaryota; Fungi; Ascomycota; Sordariomycetes; Hypocreales; Clavicipitaceae
Description: eukaryotic LSU rRNA
Rfam family: 5.8S ribosomal RNA (bases 191-344)
Source: RNAcentral
GGAAGUAAAAGUCGUAACAAGGUCUCCGUUGGUGAACCAGCGGAGGGAUCAUUACCGAGUUAUCCAACUCCCAACCCCUGUGAAUUAUACCUUUAAUUGUUGCUUCGGCGGGACUUCGCGCCCGCCGGGGACCUAAACCUUCUGAAUUUUUUAAUAAGUAUCUUCUGAGUGGUUAAAAAAAAUGAAUCAAAACUUUCAACAACGGAUCUCUUGGUUCUGGCAUCGAUGAAGAACGCAGCGAAAUGCGAUAAGUAAUGUGAAUUGCAGAAUUCAGUGAAUCAUCGAAUCUUUGAACGCACAUUGCGCCCGUCAGUAUUCUGGCGGGCAUGCCUGUUCGAGCGUCAUUACGCCCCUCAAGUCCCCUGUGGACUUGGUGUUGGGGAUCGGCGAGGCUGGUUUUCCAGCACAGCCGUCCCUUAAAUUGAUUGGCGGUCUCGCCGUGGCCCUCCUCUGCGCAGUAGUAAAACACUCGCAACAGGAGCCCGGCGCGGUCCACUGCCGUAAAACCCCCCAACUUUUUAUAGUUGACCUCGAAUCAGGUAGGACUACCCGCUGAACUUAAGCAUAUCAAUAAGCGGAGGA